Molecule: ribosomal RNA, 1056 nt
Filed under: Salmonella enterica subsp. enterica serovar Enteritidis
Lineage: Bacteria; Pseudomonadati; Pseudomonadota; Gammaproteobacteria; Enterobacterales; Enterobacteriaceae
Description: bacterial SSU rRNA
Rfam family: Bacterial small subunit ribosomal RNA
Source: RNAcentral
CGAACGGUAACAGGAAGCAGCUUGCUGCUUCGCUGACGAGUGGCGGACGGGUGAGUAAUGUCUGGGAAACUGCCUGAUGGAGGGGGAUAACUACUGGAAACGGUGGCUAAUACCGCAUAACGUCGCAAGACCAAAGAGGGGGACCUUCGGGCCUCUUGCCAUCAGAUGUGCCCAGAUGGGAUUAGCUUGUUGGUGAGGUAACGGCUCACCAAGGCGACGAUCCCUAGCUGGUCUGAGAGGAUGACCAGCCACACUGGAACUGAGACACGGUCCAGACUCCUACGGGAGGCAGCAGUGGGGAAUAUUGCACAAUGGGCGCAAGCCUGAUGCAGCCAUGCCGCGUGUAUGAAGAAGGCCUUCGGGUUGUAAAGUACUUUCAGCGGGGAGGAAGGUGUUGUGGUUAAUAACCGCAGCAAUUGACGUUACCCGCAGAAGAAGCACCGGCUAACUCCGUGCCAGCAGCCGCGGUAAUACGGAGGGUGCAAGCGUUAAUCGGAAUUACUGGGCGUAAAGCGCACGCAGGCGGUCUGUCAAGUCGGAUGUGAAAUCCCCGGGCUCAACCUGGGAACUGCAUUCGAAACUGGCAGGCUUGAGUCUUGUAGAGGGGGGUAGAAUUCCAGGUGUAGCGGUGAAAUGCGUAGAGAUCUGGAGGAAUACCGGUGGCGAAGGCGGCCCCCUGGACAAAGACUGACGCUCAGGUGCGAAAGCGUGGGGAGCAAACAGGAUUAGAUACCCUGGUAGUCCACGCCGUAAACGAUGUCUACUUGGAGGUUGUGCCCUUGAGGCGUGGCUUCCGGAGCUAACGCGUUAAGUAGACCGCCUGGGGAGUACGGCCGCAAGGUUAAAACUCAAAUGAAUUGACGGGGGCCCGCACAAGCGGUGGAGCAUGUGGUUUAAUUCGAUGCAACGCGAAGAACCUUACCUGGUCUUGACAUCCACAGAAGAAUCCAGAGAUGGAUUUGUGCCUUCGGGAACUGUGAGACAGGUGCUGCAUGGCUGUCGUCAGCUCGUGUUGUGAAAUGUUGGGUUAAGUCCCGCAACGAGCGCAACCCUUAU